CCUACGGGAGGCUGCAGUGGGGAAUAUUGGACAAUGGGGGGAACCCUGAUCCAGCCAUGCCGCGUGUGUGAAGAAGGCCCUCGGGUUGUAAAGCACUUUCAGUGAGGAAGAACGCCUGGUGGUUAAUACCCAUCAGGAAAGACAUCACUCACAGAAGAAGCACCGGCUAACUCCGUGCCAGCAGCCGCGGUAAUACGGAGGGUGCGAGCGUUAAUCGGAAUUACUGGGCGUAAAGCGCGCGUAGGUGGCUUGAUAAGCCGGUUGUGAAAGCCCCGGGCUCAACCUGGGAACGGCAUCCGGAACUGUCAAGCUAGAGUGCAGGAGAGGAAGGUAGAACUCCCGGUGUAGCGGGGAAAUGCGUAGAGAUCGGGCGGAAUACCAGUGGCGAAGGCGGCCUUCUGGACUGACACUGACACUGAGGUGCGAAAGCGUGGGUAGCAAACAGGAUUAGAUACCCCGGUAGUC
This 465-nucleotide ribosomal RNA is filed under the name Vreelandella stevensii. RNAcentral describes it as "partial 16S ribosomal RNA". It matches the Rfam family "Bacterial small subunit ribosomal RNA", at positions 338 to 795 of the family's 1533-position model. The record is from RNAcentral. Lineage: Bacteria; Pseudomonadati; Pseudomonadota; Gammaproteobacteria; Oceanospirillales; Halomonadaceae.